UAAGGAAUAUUGGACAAUGGACGCAAGUCUGAUCCAGCCAUGCCGCGUGAAGGAUGAAUGCCCUCUGGGUUGUAAACUUCUUUUAUAGGGGAAGAAAGAUACUUUUUUUAAGGUAGUUGACGGUACCCUAUGAAUAAGCACCGGCUAACUCCGUGCCAGCAGCCGCGGUAAUACGGAGGGUGCAAGCGUUAUCCGGAUUUACUGGGUUUAAAGGGUGCGUAGGCGGGCAUGUAAGUCAGUGGUGAAAUACCGGAGCUUAACUUCGGAACUGCCAUUGAUACUAUAUGUCUUGAAUAUUGUGGAGGUUAGCGUAAUAGGUCAUGUGGCGGUGAAAUGCUUAGAUAUGACAUAGAACACCAAUAGAGAAGGCAGCUUACUACACAAUCAUUGACGCUGAGGCACGAAAGCGUGGGGAUCAAACA
This 422-nucleotide ribosomal RNA is filed under the name uncultured bacterium. Its description in RNAcentral is "bacterial SSU rRNA". It matches the Rfam family "Bacterial small subunit ribosomal RNA", at positions 355 to 774 of the family's 1533-position model. The record is from RNAcentral.